GUAUGACUUUACUUCAGCUCCUGUUCUACUGAGUCUGAACUGCAGCCAAGGGGCCAAACCCAGGCAAGAAGAGGGGCUGCAGGAGAAUCAGAGAUAUAGCAGAAACGAAGAUUUAAGAUUGAGAAGAAUAAAAGAGGAGUCUCAAAACAAUGAAGAGCAAUCCCAAGGGAGAAGAGGUAAAUACCUUCAACAGAAAGUGGUGACCUCAUGAAAUAUUUACUCAGGGGGAGUUGAUUAAUUAGGAAAUCACUUUUUUUUAAGAAUAUUGUCAUUGUAUGAGCAUGAUAAUCCAAGGGAAAGUCUAUAU
Molecule: long non-coding RNA, 307 nt
Filed under: Monodelphis domestica (gray short-tailed opossum)
Lineage: Eukaryota; Metazoa; Chordata; Mammalia; Didelphimorphia; Didelphidae
Description: lncRNA (ENSMODG00000036001.2)
Source: RNAcentral